AUGUGCUGUCCCUUUCAAGACAGAGUCUCUCAUGUUUUUGCUGAUGAACAUAGCCUGCACCGAUUCCUCACUGGAUCUGACCAUCAUCCAGAUGGACCGACUCCCAGUGAUACAUGUAGAAGACACCUGGAAGCAGAAUUUCACUUGCACUGCUUAUAUCUCUGUUUUCCCAAGAUGAAGCAAAGCCUCCACCUCACUAAGCUAGCAAGUGAAAUAGACAAAAGGAAAGAAAAAGAAAACACUGUUGAAGAGAUGGCACAGAAGUUUUGGCUAGAUUAGUGUGCUCAGGAGUGCUUCUGAGAUGGUCACAUCCUUCCUUUCAACGAAAAUCACAGGGGUAGCUGCAAUAUU
This 351-nucleotide long non-coding RNA is filed under the name Anas platyrhynchos platyrhynchos (common mallard). RNAcentral's name for it is "lncRNA (ENSAPLG00000025717.1)". The record is from RNAcentral. Lineage: Eukaryota; Metazoa; Chordata; Aves; Anseriformes; Anatidae.